This 79-nucleotide unclassified non-coding RNA is filed under the name Acinetobacter johnsonii. RNAcentral describes it as "isrK". The record is from RNAcentral. Lineage: Bacteria; Pseudomonadati; Pseudomonadota; Gammaproteobacteria; Moraxellales; Moraxellaceae.
GACACAGCAAAAUCUGUGUUCAGGCGUGAGAACCUGAUACAAUCUAGGUGCAAAUUAAUGUCGCACUCGCGGCUAUUUU